UGCUUAAUAAUAUAUGCCUAUAAAAAAACAUCCCUCCUUACUUCUCCCACCCAAUAUUCUCUCUAAAUUACCAAAUGCGACAACCGCCGGCGCCACCAGUUUCUUCCGGCGACCCGCCGCGAAUGUCUUCCACUUCAAACUCAACCUGCAGUCCCAACAUUUGCAGGUGGCAACCAUACUCGGACUCGAGUGAUUUUCAAGAUAACGUUGCCAUGGUCUUAAUCAUUCUUUUUUGCGCUUUAAUCUGCUCUGUGGUUCUUAACGCCGUCAUCCGCUGCUUCUUACGCGGGAAUUACAGUGGAAGCCUCCGCUCUCGGCGUUCAAACAAUGGCAGUCACCUUCCUCAAACCCAACAAGAGCUUGAGCAGAGGAAGCCUGUAACGGAGGCGGGUGUAGCACGCAUGUCGGUGGCUCCGACGGUGGUUUAUUCGCAUGGGAUGAAGCUUGCUGGAGCGGAGGGUGUACCGGAAUGUGCUAUUUGCUUGUCGGAAUUCGUGGAAGGCGACGGAAUUCAAGUGUUGGCUAAGUGUAAACAUGGUUUCCAUGUACAAUGUAUUCAACGGUGGUUGGCUUCACACUCUUCUUGCCCCACUUGCCGUUCUAUUUGUCUUCCUCCGUCGCCGUCACCGGAAGAAACUACCCGUGAAUGCGUUGGAGACGGUUCCCAACCGGUGGUGCCGGACCCGGAACCGUAGCAGCUUUGGUUGCUCUUCUUUAUACUUUCAAUUUUUUUUCUUCAUAAAAUAGCUUUAAACAUCACGAAUCUACGAAAUAAAAAUCCAAACAGUUUUCUUCUCCAAUCUCCGACAUUGACCAUCAAAUCAACUUGGAUCUAAGCAUGAAGCGAUAUCACCGCCGGAAUGGGAAUAUACAUGGCCGGAAUCUUAAAAUUUUCGAACAUUAUCUCGGCCAUUUUCUGCCUUUUGGACUUGGAAUUGUGCGGUGCUUCGGUGAGGAGCACGGGAUGUUUUUGGGGAUCGACAUGAAACUCGUUAUGGCAAGUGUGAUACCAGAUUUGUUCGAUGUCAUCCCAAUUGGUAAUGAAAUCAUGUUGAUCAACAAGGUAAUUCAAUGUGCAAAUACCACUCCAAGCCAGAGCUUCACACCGAAAAAGACAGCUUUGUGUUCCAUUCCGGCGUGCGGUGGCCGUGCAACGACGCAUGGGAAGACAGUCCUAGGAGUUCCUUCACCGGUAAAACCAGCCUGUUUGAGGAUAACGAAGUGAGGGUUGGUUCCACAAUCUUAGAGUGAAAAACACACAGGCAAUGGCAGAAGAUAAAUAUAAUGGAACACAACAGAUUAUACAUGCUAAACAGUUUGAAAAUAUUAUACUUGCAAUCGGGGAGGAUACGAAGUUGAUGGAAUCUGAAACUGAAAGCUCGAGAGUGAAGAUGAUGAUGAUUAAAUGAAUGUGCUGGACAACGGAGAUAAGAUCAUUUUCAUUGUUUUUUAUUCAUUAAUUUUCCAAUUUUACCAACAAUAUCAAAAUUUCGAGUUCAUGCUUACGAUAUGUAUCAGAGGCUUUUCCUUACUGUUGUUAUGAAUUUUAUCUUUUUGGCGUUUAAA
Gossypium raimondii (Peruvian cotton) is the source of this 1566-nucleotide RNA transcript. It is a transcript of the gene named RING-H2 finger protein ATL79, with no coding region annotated. NCBI's taxonomy places the organism in Eukaryota, Viridiplantae, Streptophyta, Magnoliopsida, Malvales, Malvaceae. The transcript is spliced from 3 exons. The record is from RefSeq and is a predicted model, not a curated record.